RNAcentral lists this non-coding RNA (217 nucleotides) under Anaerotruncus sp. CAG:528. RNAcentral also lists the same sequence under 1 other name. Lineage: Bacteria; Bacillati; Bacillota; Clostridia; Eubacteriales; Oscillospiraceae. The record is from RNAcentral.
AUUUGACAAUAUUUUUUUGGCAGAGUAUAAUCUUAUCAUGCCGAAAGGAAAAGCCAAAUUUCCUUGCGGGGAAUGCGGUGAAAAGCCGCAGCAGCUCACUCUACUGUAAGCAAAACGAAAUUCAGCACCACUGCCCAAAGGCGGGAAGGUGAAAAGUAGGCUUGCCGCAAAGCGGCGUGUUGCGAGUCAGGAUAUCCGCCGGAGGCAUAAAUUUUAA